Microplitis mediator is the source of this 131-nucleotide small nuclear RNA. RefSeq annotates it as U4atac minor spliceosomal RNA. The transcript has a single exon. Lineage: Eukaryota; Metazoa; Arthropoda; Insecta; Hymenoptera; Braconidae. The record is from RefSeq and is a predicted model, not a curated record.
ACUGUCCUUGUCUAUGGGAGCAUAGUAUUCAAUGAUCGUCUGGUGAGAGUGCUGAUGCUGAAACCCAUAUUUUAAAUAUGCCCGCAUCCAUGAGUUUUAUUUGAAACUCAUGUGUUGCAAUUUUUGGGGGG